CCUACGGGAGGCAGCAGUGGGGAAUUUUGGACAAUGGGCGCAAGCCUGAUCCAGCCAUGCCGCGUGAGUGAAGAAGGCCUUCGGGUUGUAAAGCUCUUUCAGACGGAAAGAAAUCUUUUGGGUUAAUACCCUGGGAGGAUGACGGUACCGUAAGAAGAAGCACCGGCUAACUACGUGCCAGCAGCCGCGGUAAUACGUAGGUGGCAAGCGUUGUCCGGAUUUAUUGGGUUUAAAGGGUGCGUAGGUUGUUUUGUAAGUCAGUGGUGAAAUCCGGCAGCUCAACUGUCGAUGUGCCAUUGAUACUGCAGAACUUGAGUACAGACGAGGUAGGCGGAAUUGACGGUGUAGCGGUGAAAUGCUUAGAUAUCGUCAAGAACACCGAUAGCGAAGGCAGCUUACUAGACUGUAACUGACACUGAUGCACGAAAGUGUGGGGAUCAAACAGGAUUAGAUACCCUGGUAGUCCACACUGUAAACGAUGAUUACUCGAUGUUGGCGAUACACAGCCAGCGUCUUAGCGAAAGCGAUAAGUAAUCCACCUGGGGAGUACGCCCGCAAGGGUGAAACUCAAAUGAAUUGACGG
This 583-nucleotide ribosomal RNA is filed under the name uncultured bacterium. RNAcentral describes it as "bacterial SSU rRNA". It matches the Rfam family "Bacterial small subunit ribosomal RNA", at positions 338 to 916 of the family's 1533-position model. The record is from RNAcentral.